Molecule: ribosomal RNA, 491 nt
Filed under: uncultured bacterium
Lineage: Bacteria
Description: partial 16S ribosomal RNA
Rfam family: Bacterial small subunit ribosomal RNA
Source: RNAcentral
AGUGAACGCUGGCGGUAGGCCUAACACAUGCAAGUCGAACGGCAGCACAGUAAGAGCUUGCUCUUACGGGUGGCGAGUGGCGGACGGGUGAGGAAUACAUCGGAAUCUACUUUUUCGUGGGGGAUAACGUAGGGAAACUUACGCUAAUACCGCAUACGACCUACGGGUGAAAGCAGGGGAUCUUCGGACCUUGCGCGAUUGAAUGAGCCGAUGUCGGAUUAGCUAGUUGGCGGGGUAAAGGCCCACCAAGGCGACGAUCCGUAGCUGGUCUGAGAGGAUGAUCAGCCACACGGGAACUGAGACACGGUCCAGACUCCUACGGGAGGCAGCAGUGGGGAAUAUUGGACAAGGGGCGAAAGCCUGAUCCAGCCAUACCGCGUGGGUGAAGAAGGCCUUCGGGUGGUAAAGCCCUUUUGUUGGGAAAGAAAAGCAGCAGGUUAAUACCCCGCUGUUCGGACGGGACCCAAAGAAUAAGCACCGGCUAACUUCGG